AAAGAUUUCAAAAACUGGACGAAAAUAUGAACUGAGUCGGGCGGGUGAUUUUUAGUUGCACUUUUAGAACACACACUCACACAUCGCGGGACGAACUGAACACGUUGCGAACUCGAAAGAAUCACAGGGAGCGCGGUGCGGCUGACGACGCGGCUGACACCAUACUGAUCUCAACGGAGACGGAUCGCCGAGUCGUGCUUCUGUGCCCCUUCCACCGGGCCGGAGCGGGAUUUUUUUCUCUCCACUGAAAGCGCGAGUGAGUUCGACUGACUGACUGACCGAGCGUCGCGGCGCGGCGCGGCGUCGCGAAUAAAUGCCAAGGUCACGCCGGGCCGGCAGCUUGGAGUCUGGGGGGUGUUCACACGUUGCCCGGCCGCGGUCCCAGCCGGCCACUCCGACGCAUCCAGUCUCUCCUUCUUCUUCUUUUUUAUUAUUUCCGAUCCCGAGUUCCUUCCGCUGUGCGCGGCGUGCGCGGCGGGACGCGACGCGCGCCGGCUCGGCAUUGAAGUCCACAUAUCGGGGCCCGCGCCGACCUUCCCGCGAAGGUGGACCACCACAAUACAUUACUAAGAUUACUCCUCGCGCCGCGCCGCGCCGCGCGCAACAUUUGCCUUUAUUCUUUCCUUCCGCUUCCGCGAGCGACCACUCAAGAUGGGCCUAUUUGUGUCUGGGAUGUUUUUACGGUCGAGUGGAGCCCUGCAACCGAGUCCUGCGUACGCCAAUGCAAUGUAGAGCGGCGGAGUAGCCCGCAUCCGGCACGAGCCAUGAUCUAGAACUUAGAAACUCGAAGGACGCUGCGACACUGACAUUCAGCGAUUCGUUCGAGGGCCCGAGCUCUACGCUGGAUCAAUUAUCUCCGUAAUUUGAUAUUUGCGGUGAAAUUCACCUCUGCAAUGCUAGUGCACACGCCCGCAUCUAAUGAAAAGUGCUCUGUGAUUUGACUCGACUCCAAAAUGAAUCUUACUGCACUGAACAGAUUCAACCUAAAUGCAUCAGACGUUGCCUGAUUUUGGACUAGAAGUUACAAUAAAGAUCUAUCCGCUUUUCAGUCAGUGGCGUAGACAGGAGGGGGGCUGCCCAUGAGCCUCGUUAAUUUACCUUUUUUACUUUCUCGCUCUCCUGGGGUAGAGGAAGUAUUUCUUUACUUUUGGACGGCCGGCAGACAUAAAAUAUUAUCAGGAACGUACACAAAAUAAUGUAAAUUUACCGUCAUGUUCUUGAAUGGACCCCCCCCCCUAAAGAAUUCCUAGCUACGCCUCUGUUUUUACUUAAUCUAUAGAAGCACCUACCUUCAUGAGGAAUAUCAAAAUUUGAGGGGCAGGAUAAGAGCAGGAGAGCAGGAUAAGGAAUAAGACAGAAGAAGAGGAAGAGAAAAGAAAACGAGGAGGAAACCUAGAAUGAAGAAGAGUAAAGAGAAGAAGAAGGAACGAAGGAAGAGGCGAAAUGCGAGGAAAACAGAAAGGAAAAAAGAAAAGCAAGAAGAGGAGAAAGAGAAAUACAGAAAAAGAGUGAAAAUAAGGAGCGUAAGAAGAAGUAAGAGGAAUGAAGAGGAAGAAAAAUAUGUAAGCUAGGAAGAAUAAGAAUAGGAGGAAGAAGAAAUGUAAAAAGGAAAAAAAGUGCGGGAUAAGAGGGUGGUAAAGAUGAGGAUGAACAAGAAAGGAGAAUACCACCCGUGUUCAUAUGAAUAUUAAGCGCAUAUACGUUGUUUUUAAAAUGAAUUCGAGCUUUUAGUUCCUCAUUACAAAAUGAAGUCCAAUUUCUUCUCCCGUUUUUUAUACCCUCGUGAGAUAUCAUGAGAAAACGGAUUAGUGCUCUAUAAUAAUACGUCUAAAGCGGUAAGUCAAUUGGCAUCACCUACCUUUUGAAAAGAUAUUAGUCUUGUAUACAUGGGUGUCUGGUCCUAAGAGAGUAGUUCCGGUACCUAUCCCAAACGUAGGUGAUGAAAUCUUAGAACCCAGUCCUAGCGUCGUUUCUUCCGUGUGAUCCAUAACAUCACAACCACAUCCAGGUCAUAGGACCUAUGAAAAAUUUACAGAAAG
This 2039-nucleotide long non-coding RNA is filed under the name Bemisia tabaci. Its description in RNAcentral is "lncRNA ENSSSA1UGG006415". Lineage: Eukaryota; Metazoa; Arthropoda; Insecta; Hemiptera; Aleyrodidae. The record is from RNAcentral.